RNAcentral lists this ribosomal RNA (292 nucleotides) under uncultured bacterium. RNAcentral's name for it is "partial 16S ribosomal RNA". It matches the Rfam family "Bacterial small subunit ribosomal RNA", at positions 505 to 796 of the family's 1533-position model. The record is from RNAcentral.
GUGCCAGCCGCCGCGGUAAGACAGAGGGUGCAAACGUUGUUCGGAAUCACUGGGCGUAAAGCGCGUGUAGGCUGCUGCGCAAGUCGGAUGUGAAAUCCCACGGCUCAACCAUGGAAGUGCAUUCGAAACUGCGUAGCUAGAGUUUUGGAGAGGAAGGCGGAAUACUCGGUGUAGAGGUGAAAUUCGUAGAUAUCGAGUGGAACACCGGUGGCGAAGGCGGCCUUCUGGACAAUGACUGACGCUGAAACGCGAAAGCGUGGGGAGCAAACAGGAUUAGAUACCCGUGUAGUCC